GCAGCCGCGGUAAUUCCAGCUCCAAUAGCGUAUAUUAAAGUUGUUGCAGUUAAAAAGCUCGUAGUUGAAUUUCGGGAUCAAUAUGUUGGUCGUGCCUUUGGUACGUACUAGCUUAUUGAUUUCUCCCUUCUGACGAACCAUGAUGUCAUUAAUUUGGUGUCAUGGGGAAUCAGGACUGUUACUUUGAAAAAAUUAGAGUGUUUAAAGCAGGCUUACGCUUGAAUAUAUUAGCAUGGAAUAAUGAAAUAGGACGUUUUGAUUCUAUUUUGUUGGUUUCUAGGAUCGACGUAAUGAUUAAUAGGGAUAGUUGGGGGCAUUAGUAUUCAAUUGUCAGAGGUGAAAUUCUUGGAUUUAUUGAAGACUAACUACUGCGAAAGCAUUUGCCAAGGAUGUUUUCAUUAAUCAAGAACGAAAGUUAGGGGAUCGAAGACGAUCAGAUACCGUCGUAGUCUUAACCAUAAACUAUGCCGACUAGGGAUCGGAUGAUGUUAAUUUUUUAAUGACUCAUUCGGCGCCUUACG
This 521-nucleotide unclassified non-coding RNA is filed under the name uncultured Glomeromycotina. RNAcentral describes it as "SSU rRNA". It matches the Rfam family "Eukaryotic small subunit ribosomal RNA", at positions 570 to 1092 of the family's 1831-position model. Lineage: Eukaryota; Fungi; Glomeromycota. The record is from RNAcentral.